Molecule: transfer RNA, 66 nt
Filed under: Trichius succinctus
Lineage: Eukaryota; Metazoa; Arthropoda; Insecta; Coleoptera; Scarabaeidae
Description: tRNA-Glu
Source: RNAcentral
AUUUAUAUAGUUUAAAUAAAACUUUACAUUUUCAUUGUAAUAUUAGGGAAAUUCCCUUAUAAAUAC